This 468-nucleotide ribosomal RNA is filed under the name uncultured bacterium. RNAcentral's name for it is "partial 16S ribosomal RNA". It matches the Rfam family "Bacterial small subunit ribosomal RNA", at positions 28 to 507 of the family's 1533-position model. The record is from RNAcentral.
GACGAACGCUGGCGGCGUGCUUAACACAUGCAAGUCGAACGGAAAGGCCCUGCUUUUGUGGGGUGCUCGAGUGGCGAACGGGUGAGUAACACGUGAGUAACCUGCCCUUGACUUUGGGAUAACUUCAGGAAACUGGGGCUAAUACCGGAUAGGAGCUCCUGCUGCAUGGUGGGGGUUGGAAAGUUUCGGCGGUUGGGGAUGGACUCGCGGCUUAUCAGCUUGUUGGUGGGGUAGUGGCUUACCAAGGCUUUGACGGGUAGCCGGCCUGAGAGGGUGACCGGCCAAAUUGGGACUGAGAUACGGCCCAGACUCCUACGGGAGGCAGCAGGGGGGAAUAUUGCACAAUGGGCGGAAGCCUGAUGCAGCCACGCCGCGUGCGGGAUGACGGCCUUCGGGUUGUAAACCGCUUUCGCCUGUGACGAAGCGUGAGUGACGGUAAUGGGUAAAGAAGCACCGGCUAACUACGUG